GUUUUCUUUGAAAAAAAAAUCAUCAUGAAUUUUGGCGCAAAAAAAACGCCUUACUAUACUAUGUCGAAAAAAAAUGCGAUUUUUCAAACAUGUUGUAAAAACGUGUCAUAUGAUGAAAUAAUGUAAAGGAGGCCAUGAAAAACACUCCAGAAAGGUUUUCUUUGAAAAAAAAAUCAUCAUGAAUUUUGGCGCAAAAAAAACGCCUUACUAUACUAUGUCGAAAAAAAAUGCGAUUUUUCAAACAUGUUGUAAAAACGUGCCAUAUGAUGAAAUAAUGUAAAGGAGGCCGUGAAAAACACUCCAGAAAGGUUUUCUUUGAAAAAAAAAUCAUCUUGAAUUUUGGUGCAAAAAAAA
Amphiprion ocellaris (clown anemonefish) is the source of this 354-nucleotide long non-coding RNA. Lineage: Eukaryota; Metazoa; Chordata; Actinopteri; Pomacentridae. The record is from Ensembl.